Molecule: long non-coding RNA, 720 nt
Organism: Colias croceus (clouded yellow)
Lineage: Eukaryota; Metazoa; Arthropoda; Insecta; Lepidoptera; Pieridae
Exons: 3
Source: RefSeq, a predicted model, not a curated record
CUGUCCAUACUUGCGUUCAGUUUUAAUUCGGUCCCCGUAUUAAUCGGCAAAAUUCUUCAAUUGGAGAGUAUUUUUUAAUUUUUUUUUUAAUAACUUGGGUGCUAAUGAAAAGAUCGAAGAGAAGAUUUGCGAUCACCGAUAAAUUCCUUCCCAGGCUAGCUAAAAACCUGUGCACCCGAAAAGGCAGUCGUAGAGCGAACACCGGCAACCGUCUGGAACACGCGGUGCUCACCCACAUCCAACACGUGCCAUAGAUCACACGCCUGACGUCUACUCAUCCAUCCCCAUCGCUUCAUCACCCAAACACGAUGGCCCGCGGCGACGAAAUCAAAACCGCUAGCAAAGCUUCCUUUGUUAAACAAUUCGACUUCCCAGCUCCACUUAAAAAACCAAUGAUCGCACCAACUCAGCCACCUAAAAUGCAAGAGAAAAAGGACUAUGGCGCCUGGGGCUCCGUAUUCAAAGACAAGAAAACGUUCACGGACAUGCACUUCUGCUAAACUGACCUGCUCAUCAUCAUCGCUUUAAGUUAAUCGUCAUAAAACACCUAGUUGUAAAGCACCAACCAAAAUUGACUGUAUAAAAUCGGCAAAUAAAUUUAAGGGAUAAGUUUUUAUGGCGUUUAGCAUUUCUUCUUCGUAUCUACUUGGUUCUUUGGUAUCGCGUACUAACCCUGUCAUGUAAUUCAUGUUAACAGAUUAAAUAGCAUCAUUCAUGAAA